This 461-nucleotide ribosomal RNA is filed under the name uncultured ammonia-oxidizing beta proteobacterium. RNAcentral describes it as "bacterial SSU rRNA". It matches the Rfam family "Bacterial small subunit ribosomal RNA", at positions 202 to 646 of the family's 1533-position model. The record is from RNAcentral. Lineage: Bacteria; Pseudomonadati; Pseudomonadota; Betaproteobacteria.
AAGUAGGGGAUCGUAAGACCUUGCGCUUUUGGAGUGGCCGAUGCCUGAUUAGCUAGUUGGUGGGGUAAGGGCCUACCAAGGCAACGAUCAGUAGUUGGUCUGAGAGGACGACCAGCCACACUGGGACUGAGACACGGCCCAGACUCCUACGGGAGGCAGCAGUGGGGAAUUUUGGACAAUGGGCGAAAGCCUGAUCCAGCAAUGCCGCGUGAGUGAAGAAGGCCUUCGGGUUGUAAAGCUCUUUCAGUCGGGAAGAAAAGGUUGUGACUAAUAAUCACAACUUAUGACGGUACCGACAGAAGAAGCACCGGCUAACUACGUGCCAGCAGCCGCGGUAAUACGUAGGGUGCGAGCGUUAAUCGGAAUUACUGGGCGUAAAGGGUGCGCAGGCGGCUUUGUAAGUCAGAUGUGAAAUCCCCGGGCUUAACCUGGGAAUUGCGUUUGAAACUACAAAGCUUAGA